UAUUAUUCUCCCCGCUAAAGAUUAGGGGAUGUUGUUGCAAAAUGACUAUUGUUAGUUCCUUUUUUAGGUCCUUUAUUUAAUGCACCACUUCUCUAGUUUUGCAGUCUUCAUUUUCUCACACACCCUUGACAGUGUAAGAGCCAGACAGAGCAAGAAUUGUGAGGCAACAAAUGAUGCAUCCUAUGGGGUUCUUGGAUGUAAAUAUAAUAAACCAACUUGGCUAACUAGCAGGAAGGGAAUGUGCUGGAACAUCAGGUGGCUCACAAGAUAGUGAAUGCUGGAGAUCUAGGCUUGGGAAACAGGCAGGAACGGUCAGCUCAGCAGGAACAACGUGUUUGUCGGCCCUCCCGACUGGACCUUGGACAUUGCUGGCACCGAGGGUCAGCUACAGCCAUAUUCCUGCUGCUCCUGCAUGAAUAAUUCCCUACACUCUAGAGCCCCAGGUAAGGGCAUCAGUUUGGUCGGGCUUUGUUUGGAUAUUCACUCUCCAGUUGCCAGCACACAGGGAGACCGUGCAUCUGGCCCCUUUAAUUCCAGGGAGGGUUGCUGAGUGGGCUUCCUACGAAGGAGCCACAUAUGAUAGAGACUGAUAGUCCCCCACAUAUGAUAGUCCCUGAAUAGGAAGGGAGCACCAGAAGAGGGUUUCAGAUAGAAGAUUUUCUUCUUUGCAUUGAUUUUUAUUUCUUUGUGUAGCACAACCAACGAGGAUAUGUGACAAUCAGGACUUGUCUUCUGACUGCCUGGGAAUGAAAGUUGGUCCACAGUCUGAGAUAGGACAAGACCACAGAUUUCUGGGUUAAUGCAACCACAUAUGCUUUGCUUAGUAACACUUCUGUUAUGUUUUUGUAAAGAAGAAAGGCUCCUUGAUGUCAACAACUGUGUGGUCCCUGUGGAAGCUGCCUGCUACCCUCCCGUGAGUCUCUUCAUAGCAAGCCUGACAACGGAUCUUCCCGAUCUUCCAGGGCUCCAGCCACUAAUGAAAGGCAGCUUAGAAGAAGCAGACAAUAGACAAAAUUCAGCUGCCCCACACAGCAUUUUUCUCAUGCGUAUUUUCAUUUCAAGAAUGAUACUCUCAAGGAUAAGGAAAAAUUACAAAAGACACUAAUUUUUGAAGACCUUUUGAAAACCGAAACAGAGGAUGAUUUAAACCAUCCACAUUCCUCCUGACUUGAGCUUUCACAGACCUGAAUGCUGAUUGGAAAAUCCUGUCAUGGUUUCUCCGAAGAAAAAGGGUAAUAAUGACUAUAUUAAUAUGACAUUUCAACAUUCAAUGCAAUGCAAAACAAGUUUGUUUUUUUAGAAAAAGAAAAAAAAAAAGAAAGAAGAAGAAGAAACAGAAGAAAAAGAAAUCUAUCCCCCAACACCAACUGCACUGGAUGCAAUUUAAGCCCAGUGUGGAUUUUAUUUGCACCCCAUUACUCAUAAAUACCCAAAUGUAACUCUUUUACCAGAGCUCCUUUUGAGUUCAAUGUGAUAAUGAAUGUGAAGG
Molecule: long non-coding RNA, 1489 nt
Filed under: Microcebus murinus (gray mouse lemur)
Lineage: Eukaryota; Metazoa; Chordata; Mammalia; Primates; Cheirogaleidae
Description: lncRNA (ENSMICG00000048475.1)
Source: RNAcentral